Molecule: long non-coding RNA, 1699 nt
Filed under: Eptatretus burgeri (inshore hagfish)
Lineage: Eukaryota; Metazoa; Chordata; Myxini; Myxiniformes; Myxinidae
Description: lncRNA (ENSEBUG00000017099.1)
Source: RNAcentral
CAGGACAGAGCAGAGCGUGAGCGAAGGCUCUACUCAGACCUUUAUAGGCUCUGUGGUGCGGGGUGGGGGGCCACCCCGAAACGUGGUGUUGUCACCUGAAUCGGGCACUCUGAUUGGCCCCGACCCCCUGCGUGGCCCGGCUGCAAUGGCCGGAAACAGCAACGUUCCAUUUACGGCAAGGUGACCCCGAGCUGUAAAAAUGUCCCGCUCCGACCUCACGACAGGACACAAAUCACCCACACCGAACUCCGCCCCAUGAAUUACCCUGCAAGAACCCCCAAGCUGCGCCCUGAUGACCAACCGAGUGUGGAGUCGGUCCCGCAUGUCCGCCCGGGUGCCCUGACCAGCGCUGGUCAAUGUGCCUGCUCCGUGUGCGCCAACAUGGCCUGAGCUGUACAACAUGCCUCCGCCCAAUCGCAGCUUCGCUGGCCAUAGAGGCGAGAAGAAUUGGAGAAAAACAUGGAUUUUCCUGAAGUACUGGCAGAUCAGAAGCAAGAAAACUGUGGUGAUGAAGAUGAAGGAAUAUAUGAAAAUUUGGAGGAAUACAUAAGAUACGAUGAUGUUGUGGGGACACAUGGAGUAUCAGAGAGAAUGAACACUGAGAAAUUUGACAAAAACCCAUUGAAGGAAAAAAGUCAUUCCAAAAGUGGUUUAGACAUUGAAAAAAAGAACAAUGCAUCUGGUGGUUGCAAAAGUGGAGAAAACGGAGUCUCUGCUCCUAAAAAGAACAUAAAGACACUGUUGUUUGAUUUCUUCAAAAUUGAAUCGGCGAACUGCAACAUGAGCUGUAACCACGAUGUUCCACUUGUAAGAAAAUAUUCGGAUUGUACCGAGAAUAUGAACAAGCAGAUGCUGCUUGUGGAAGAUGACUCAGAUGACUGGAGGAACGCAUGCUCUGUGUUCAAACCCUGCCAUGAAGCGCAGAAAAAGAUGGAUUUGCACCAAGUGCUGGCAAAUGAGAAACAAAGAUAUUGUGAUGAUGUAGGGGAAGAAACUUUGAAAAACGUUGAGGAAAACAUGUAUGAUGAUGUUGAAGUUAGUGUUGAGACAAAAUGGGCGAUGAAAGAUCAUUCACAAAGCCCUCAGUGCAUCAAACAAAGUAGUUCAUGUUUUCGAGAAAUACCGACUGAAGCAAAGGAAAAGGAGCCAAAGGUAUGUAACAUUGUAAAUCAACAUCUCAUAGUGUGUGCUUUUGUGACGUCUCAAACCUCUGGCUGCCCAAAUGCUCACAACGGCCUGUCGGGGCAGCCAAAGGGGUUCGUGACAUCACAAAAGUGAGGCUAAAUGAUAAGUUUUCCAAAAAUUAUAAUUUAGCCUCACAAGAAUAUUACAAAAAAAAUAGCAUCCAUUAACCUUUAGAGGCAGCAUUUUUGACAGCUGCACCUAAAUCGGAAUUUUAUUCAUUCAAAAUGAAACGUUGGAUUUUUCUAUUAACAGAUAUUCUGUUUCAUAAAAUAUAAUUGUACUUUUGGCAAAGAUGUGCAAAGUAUGUCAUAAACUUAAUUCUGAUACCAAUGUGUGACAAUGUAUUGCCAAUGUGGUGUGAUAUUAGCAAGUGUUUUUUAACGGGUGUCAUUAUCAAUUUGAGAGAAUGUAAUCAGGUGCCCCAUCUGUUUUCAAAGAUCAUGUUGUAUUCUAUUUAUUUUAUUUUUGGUAAAGGUAGACAUCUAAUCAAUGCAACAGGGAAAUGGAAGCUAAU